RNAcentral lists this ribosomal RNA (500 nucleotides) under uncultured bacterium. RNAcentral's name for it is "partial 16S ribosomal RNA". It matches the Rfam family "Bacterial small subunit ribosomal RNA", at positions 30 to 523 of the family's 1533-position model. The record is from RNAcentral.
AUUGAACGCUGGCGGAAUGCUUUACACAUGCAAGUCGAACGGCAGCACGGACUUCGGUCUGGUGGCGAGUGGCGAACGGGUGAGUAAUGUAUCGGAACGUGCCCAGUCGUGGGGGAUAACGUAGUGAAAAUUACGCUAAUAACGCAUACGAUCUAUGGAUGAAAGCGGGGGAUCGCAAGACCUCGCGCGAUUGGAGCGGCCGAUAUCAGAUUAGGUAGUUGGUGGGGUAAAGGCCCACCAAGCCAGCGAUCUGUAGCUGGUCUGAGAGGACGACCAGCCACACUGGAACUGAGACACGGUCCAGACUCCUACGGGAGUCAGCAGUGGGGAAUUUUGGACAAUGGGCGAAAGCCUGAUCCAGCCAUUCCGCGUGCAGGAUGAAGGCCCUCGGGUUGUAAACUGCUUUUGUACAGAACGAAAAGGUUUCUACUAAUACUAGGAGCUCAUGACGGUACUGUAAGAAUAAGCACCGGCUAACUACGUGCCAGCCGCCGCCGUAA